RNAcentral lists this ribosomal RNA (465 nucleotides) under Geobacillus thermodenitrificans. RNAcentral describes it as "bacterial SSU rRNA". It matches the Rfam family "Bacterial small subunit ribosomal RNA", at positions 8 to 461 of the family's 1533-position model. The record is from RNAcentral. Lineage: Bacteria; Bacillati; Bacillota; Bacilli; Caryophanales; Anoxybacillaceae.
AGAGUUUGAUCAUGGCUCAGGACGAACGCUGGCGGCGUGCCUAAUACAUGCAAGUCGAGCGGACCGAACGAGAGCUUGCUCUUGUUUGGUCAGCGGCGGACGGGUGAGUAACACGUGGGCAACCUGCCCGCAAGACCGGGAUAACUCCGGGAAACCGGAGCUAAUACCGGAUAACACCAAAGACCGCAUGGUCUUUGGUUGAAAGGCGGCUUCGGCUGUCACUUGCGGAUGGGCCCGCGGCGCAUUAGCUAGUUGGUGAGGUAACGGCUCACCAAGGCGACGAUGCGUAGCCGGCCUGAGAGGGUGACCGGCCACACUGGGACUGAGACACGGCCCAGACUCCUACGGGAGGCAGCAGUAGGGAAUCUUCCGCAAUGGACGAAAGUCUGACGGAGCGACGCCGCGUGAGCGAAGAAGGCCUUCGGGUCGUAAAGCUCUGUUGUGAGGGACGAAGGAGCGCCGUUG